UAGUGGAUCUGGACCAGUGGAACAUUGGU
This 29-nucleotide non-coding RNA is filed under the name Homo sapiens (human). Lineage: Eukaryota; Metazoa; Chordata; Mammalia; Primates; Hominidae. The record is from RNAcentral.